Long non-coding RNA from Trifolium pratense (red clover), 490 nucleotides. RefSeq lists it as uncharacterized. Lineage: Eukaryota; Viridiplantae; Streptophyta; Magnoliopsida; Fabales; Fabaceae. The transcript is spliced from 2 exons. The record is from RefSeq and is a predicted model, not a curated record.
UUCACUUCACUCGCCGCUUUUCUUUCUAUCAAAUUACUCCCACAUUCAUGUCUCUUGCAUUUGCAUCAAAUGCAAUUUCACUCUCUUAUUCAAUCCUUCAAAUCCGUUCCAACUAUGAUAGCCAAGCCAUUGAAGAUUUCUAUCAUUUGUUCCCGUGGAAUGUCUAUUGAGGAUGAUUAUGUUAUUAUAUCGGCGGUAAUUUCUUUGAUUAAACAACAUAUAAAGUCUCUGUCUUAACGGUGACGUUAAUUACUCUAGAUCUAUGAAAUCAGUUGGUUUCAUAACUGUGUUAUUUUAUUGGAUAAUAGUAAAAUCGUUAAAAUAAGAUGGUGUGGUGUUUUGAUCGGAAAUAAUGUUCCAGGUGUAGGUGAAGUUUCAAUAAUAUAUGUCCCAAACUUGAUUAGGGUAGUUUACUAUUUUAUAUUUGGAUUGAGGAGUUUGUAAUUUAAAAUAUAAUGAAUGAAUAAAGAUGUUUCUAUUUUGCAUUGCA